Molecule: long non-coding RNA, 1719 nt
Filed under: Sus scrofa (pig)
Lineage: Eukaryota; Metazoa; Chordata; Mammalia; Artiodactyla; Suidae
Description: lncRNA (ENSSSCG00060009122.1)
Source: RNAcentral
UGUGGAAUCCAAAAAAAGGGUACAAAUGAAUUUAUUUACAAAACAGAAACUGACUUUUUUGAAAACAAAGUUAUGGUUACCAAAGGGGAGAGGUUGGGGGAGGGAUGGACUGGGGUUUUGAGAUUGGCAUAUGCACACCAUUGUACAUGGAGUGGAUGGUCAACAGGGACAGGCUGUACAGCACUGGGAACUCUACUCGGUAUUCUGUGAUAACCUAUAUGAAUCACUUUGUUGUACAGCAGAAAUUACCACAACAUUGUAAAUCAACUAUACUUCAUUAAAGUUUUAAGAUUCAAAAAUAAAUAAAUAAAGACGAUACCAAGUCUCAUUAAUUGCAUCUGAUUCUUUCCGGCUUGAUCUUUUCCCCAUGUGUGUCACAAAAGGUCUUCAAAGUUGUCUGUGUUUGAGGGUCUCUUCUGAUGUCAGAGGAGGGCAGGAGAUGUGAAGCUUCCAUUCUUAUUUUUCUGCUUCUCCUAAGCUCCUUCCAGCUCUGCUUUUCUUUGACUCUCUUCCCGCUGGGCAGAGGCGUAGCUUCAUGGAUCUUGAAGGGCUGAAUGUUCUACAUAACUCUGGAGCCUGAAUGGUGGGGGCUCUGGGAUCAUCAGAUCCCUCCCAAGGUGCCCACUCUGAUGCUGUUUCUCUUCCUCAAUGGUGGAAGAUUCUCUAGAAGAGCCAUUAAAGUCCCCCAGUGGCCCCCGCUCACUCCACACUUGGGUCAGGAUGUGAAAGAUGACUUUGAGCUGGAAAGUCUUUGAUCUCCCUUCAUCUCAGAGGUCCAGCUUCCAGAACCAUGAGAAGUCAGUCUGCUGUUUAAGUCACUGGAUUGUCAGCAUUUUGUGACAGCAGCCUGAGAGGGCUAAGCCUGCAUGAAAGCCAAAAUUUGCAACAAAAUUAAUCACUAAUUAACUCAUCCUCCAGUGUCCCAGGGCCUGCUACUGUGCUGGGCUGUGGAACUACCCUAGUUAGGAUUUACAACCCUUAAUUAGUCUUGGUGCAAGGGUCAUUCAAGUUCAGGAAGAGAUCACCAGAGGGCAGGGAACCUGGGGCAGGAGCAAGGCCAGGGAAUGUCUGAGCUGAGUCUAGGAGGAGGAUGAAGGGAGGUGUUGGGGGGAGUAGGGGUCUGUUAGGAAUCAAGGAGGAGGCCCAGGUUCCUGGUUGGGGGAGGGGCUGGGUGGAGGAACUGAUAGACUAUGAAAACACAGUGAGAGGAGUUCCUGUUGUGGGCACAAUGGGAUCCAUCCAUGGCAUCUCUAGAGCCCUGGGACGCAGCUUUGACCCCUCACUUGGCACAGUGGGUUAAGGAUCUGGCAUUGCUGCAGCUUCGGCUUAGGUCACAACUGCAGCUUGGAUCUAAUCUCUGGCCCGGAAACUUCAAAAUGCCUCGGGGGCGGCCAAAACAGAAAAAAAAAACGGCGAGAGUAACUCCCUGUGACUUUCUGUUCUGUUACUUAACUCUCUACCUUACAUUGCCCUGUAAACAGGCUAUAACAGAAGUUCCUGGCCCCUCUUUUGCCAUCUUGGAUUGGCUUCUGUGCUUGGCAACAGGCACGCUGAUAGUCUGAGAUCUUACUGCAGAAAAUGUCUGCCCUCGCUCUUAACAUGUGUGAGCUGAGCUGUUUUUCUCUAGGGCUCAAAUGCUGUCCUGAAACCCAGAGGUGUUUGGAAAAAGGUAAAAAGCACCACCACCAAGCAGCCCUCCAGACUGUCUUUCACUUUAAC